AGCGAACGCUGGCGGCAGGCUUAACACAUGCAAGUCGAGCGGGCAUCUUCGGGUGUCAGCGGCAGACGGGUGAGUAACACGUGGGAACGUACCCUUCGGUUCGGAAUAACGCUGGGAAACUAGCGCUAAUACCGGAUACGCCCUUAUGGGGAAAGGUUUACUGCCGAAGGAUCGGCCCGCGUCUGAUUAGCUAGUUGGUGGGGUAAUGGCCUACCAAGGCGACGAUCAGUAGCUGGUCUGAGAGGAUGAUCAGCCACACUGGGACUGAGACACGGCCCAGACUCCUACGGGAGGCAG
RNAcentral lists this ribosomal RNA (297 nucleotides) under uncultured Pseudomonadota bacterium. RNAcentral's name for it is "uncultured proteobacterium partial 16S ribosomal RNA". It matches the Rfam family "Bacterial small subunit ribosomal RNA", at positions 29 to 351 of the family's 1533-position model. Lineage: Bacteria; Pseudomonadati; Pseudomonadota. The record is from RNAcentral.